UACGGAGGGUGCGAGCGUUGUCCGGAAUCAUUGGGCGUAAAGGGCGCGUAGGUGGCCCGGCAAGCGUGCGGUGAAAGUCGGGGGCUCAACCCCGGAUCGGCCGUGCGAACUGCGGGGCUGGAGCACUGUAGAGGCAGGCGGAAUUCCGGGUGUAGCGGUGGAAUGCGUAGAGAUCCGGAAGAACACCGGUGGCGAAGGCGAUCUGCUAGGCCGCAACUGACACUGAGGGACGAAAGCUAGGGGAGCGAAUGGG
Molecule: ribosomal RNA, 253 nt
Filed under: uncultured bacterium
Lineage: Bacteria
Description: partial 16S ribosomal RNA
Rfam family: Bacterial small subunit ribosomal RNA
Source: RNAcentral